Molecule: ribosomal RNA, 397 nt
Filed under: uncultured bacterium
Lineage: Bacteria
Description: partial 16S ribosomal RNA
Rfam family: Bacterial small subunit ribosomal RNA
Source: RNAcentral
AUACGUAGGUGACAAGCGUUAUCCGGAUUUACUGGGCGUAAAGGGCGUGUAGGCGGUCUUGCAAGUCAGAAGUGAAAUUCCUGAGCUCAACUCGGGCGCUGCUUCUGAAACUGCAGGACUUGAGUGCUGGAGGGGAUAGCGGAAUUCCUAGUGGAGCGGUAAAAUGCGCAGAUAUUAGGAAGAACACCGGUGGCGAAGGCGGCUAUCUGGACAGUAACUGACGCUGAGGCGCGAAAGCGUGGGGAGCAAACAGGAUUAGAUACCCUGGUAGUCCACGCGGUAAACGAUGAAUGCUAGGUGUUGCGGGUAUCGACCCCUGCAGUGCCGGAGUAAACACAAUAAGCAUUCCGCCUGGGGAGUACGGCCGCAAGGUUGAAACUUAAAGGAAUUGACGGGG